AGCUAAUACUUGCUUUAGCACUCUUGAUUAAGUUCUUGAGUGUGUACUUGUUAAGCCUUUUAAGAAAAAAGUUAUUAACUUAAGGAAUUAUAACAAAGAAGUAACACGUAAUGGAUCCGUCCAUUUUUAGUGUGUAUCAAUCGAGUUUCUGACCUAUCAGCUUUUGAUGUUAGGGUAUUGGCCUAACAUGGCUAUGACGGGUAACGGGGAAUUAGAGUUCGAUUCCGGAGAGGGAGCCUGAGAAAUAGCUACCGCAUCUAAGGAAGGCAGCAGGCGCGUAAAUUACCCAAUUCUAAAAAAGAGAGGUAGUGACAAGAAAUAACAAUACAAGGCCAAUCUGGCUUUGUAAUUGGAAUGAUGGGAAUUUAAAACCUUCCCAAAACUCCAUUGGAGGGCAAGUCUGGUGCCAGCAGCCGCGGUAAUUCCAGCUCCAAUAGCGUAUAUUAAAAUUGUUGCAGUUAAAACGCUCGUAGUUGAAUUUCAAAGAAUCGAUAUUUUAAGUAACGCUUUUAGUUUAAUCCACAUAACUGAUACUACGUAUCGACUUUGUGCGCAUUUUGCUAUUAUGUGUUCUUUUAAUUAAAAUGAUUCUUUUUAAGGUCUUUCUUUUGCUCCGGCAUUUGAAGAUCUUGUUACUUUGAGUAAAUUAGAGUGUUCAAAGCAAACAGAUAUAGCAUUGCGCGUUUGAAUACUACAGCAUGGAAUAACAAAAUUGAACAAGUCAGAAUUUUGUUCUUUUUUCUUAUUUUGGCUUAGUUACGAUUAAUAGGAGUAGCUUGGGGGCAUUUGUAUUCAGAUGUCAGAGGUGAAGUUCUUAGAUUUUCUGGAGACAAACAACUGCGAAAGCAUUUGCCUAAAAUACUUCCAUUAAUCAAGAACGAAAGUUAAGGGAGUGAAGACGAUCAGAUACCGUCGUAAUCUUAACCAUAAACUAUACCGACUAGGUUUUGGAUGAAAGUAAAACAAAUAAGGAUAGUCUCUUCGGGGAUAGUCCUUAGAUUUCUUCCUUCAGUACCCUAUGAGAAAUCAAAGUCUUUGGGUUCUGGGGCGAGUAUUCGCGCAAGCGAGAAAGUUAAAAGAAUUGACGGAAGGGCACCACCAGGCGUGGAGCUUGCGGCUUAAUUUGACUCAACACGGGAAAACUCACUAGUUUAAGACAAGAGUAGGAUUGACAGAUUAAUAGCUCUUUCUUGAUUUCUUGGAUGGUGAUGCAUGGCCGUUUUUAGUUCGUGAAUAUGAUUUGUCUGGUUAAUUCCGAUAACGAACGAGAUCUUAACCUGCUAAUUAGCGGUAAGUACGACAUAUUUUUAUAUCGAAUUGGAUAUGUAUGAUUUGCUAAAUUGCGGUCGCAAAUAAUGAAGAUCUUGAUUGCUUUUCACGUCAGUGUUUUCCAGAAUCGUUGACGUGACUAGUAUAUUCUCGCUCCUUCUGUUCCCUGGACUUCACUUCCCUGGCUUAUCAUACCGUUUCCUUUUUGUGUAGAAAUGUAUUUAUUUUAUGUAAAGCUUCUUAGAGGAACGAUGUGUGUCUAACACAAG
This 1538-nucleotide ribosomal RNA is filed under the name Plasmodium sp. RNAcentral's name for it is "SSU rRNA". It matches the Rfam family "Eukaryotic small subunit ribosomal RNA", at positions 162 to 1439 of the family's 1831-position model. The record is from RNAcentral. Lineage: Eukaryota; Apicomplexa; Aconoidasida; Haemosporida; Plasmodiidae.